ACAGCAGCAGCCGCGGGAAUACGUAGGGUGCGAGCGUUAAUCGGAAUUACUGGGCGUAAAGCGUGCGCAGGCGGUUGUGUAAGACAGGUGUGAAAUCCCCGGGCUUAACCUGGGAACUGCAUUUGUGACUGGCGGGCUAGAGUAUGGCAGAGGGGGGUAGAAUUCCACGUGUAGCAGUGAAAUGCGUAGAGAUGUGGAGGAAUACCGAUGGCGAAGGCAGCCCCCUGGGCCAAUACUGACGCUCAUGCACGAAAGCGUGGGGAGCAAACAGGAUUAGAUACCCCCGUAGUCCCUGUCUCUUAUAC
This 305-nucleotide ribosomal RNA is filed under the name uncultured bacterium. RNAcentral's name for it is "partial 16S ribosomal RNA". It matches the Rfam family "Bacterial small subunit ribosomal RNA", at positions 505 to 807 of the family's 1533-position model. The record is from RNAcentral.